RNAcentral lists this ribosomal RNA (497 nucleotides) under uncultured bacterium. Its description in RNAcentral is "partial 16S ribosomal RNA". It matches the Rfam family "Bacterial small subunit ribosomal RNA", at positions 28 to 507 of the family's 1533-position model. The record is from RNAcentral.
GAUGAACGCUGGCGGCGUGCCUAAUACAUGCAAGUCGAGCGAACAGACGAGGAUCUUGCUCCUCUGACGUUAGCGGCGGACGGGUGAGUAACACGUGGAUAACCUACCUAUAAGACUGGGAUAACUUCGGGAAACCGGAGCUAAUACCGGAUAAUAUAUUGAACCGCAUGGUUCAAUAGUGAAAGACGGAUUUGCUGUCACUUAUAGAUGGAUCCGCGCCGCAUUAGCUAGUUGGUAAGGUAACGGCUUACCAAGGCAACGAUGCGUAGCCGACCUGAGAGGGUGAUCGGCCACACUGGAACUGAGACACGGUCCAGACUCCUACGGGAGGCAGCAGUAGGGAAUCUUCCGCAAUGGGCGAAAGCCUGACGGAGCAACGCCGCGUGAGUGAUGAAGGUCUUCGGAUCGUAAAACUCUGUUAUUAGGGAAGAACAAAUGUGUAAGUAACUAUGCACGUCUUGACGGUACCUAAACAGAAAGCCACGGCUAACUACGUG